This 1308-nucleotide ribosomal RNA is filed under the name Triticum aestivum (bread wheat). RNAcentral describes it as "partial small subunit ribosomal RNA". The record is from RNAcentral. Lineage: Eukaryota; Viridiplantae; Streptophyta; Magnoliopsida; Poales; Poaceae.
UGACCGUAGCGCUACUUUUUAACACGCAUUUUGGGUUCCAGUGCUCGUCUCUAGGCUCACAGUCUCGCGGUUACCGGCUGUGCAUUAAUUUGGGGGAGCUGCUGGCCAUCUGGCGUGGGUGGAUAUUGGAGGAGAGGAGAGGCGGGGUGGAGCGUCUCGGCGGCGGACACUGGCUGGCCUCUCGGUCUGCUGUUUGGCUCGGGUGGCGUGGGUGUGGUCGUGGUCGUGGUCGUGGUUGAGGAGGAGGAGGAGAACGCGCCGACGUCGACGGCCGGUACAGCCACCUCUGCCUCGCCUCGAGGUGCCUCAGGAGGCGGCGGAGCCCGGAGCUGAAGCUCCUGUGGCGGGAUUGGGAGGCGGAGGGGCCGAGGCUGGGGCUGGCGUUCGCGCGGAGGUGGAGGCUGGGGCUGACGGGGAGGGGCUGGCGGCGGCGGAGGCUGAGAGGGGGAAGGGGGUUCCGCGUCCACCACCCGACCGGUGGCCACGCCAGCAAGGCCUUCUUGCGGGAGCGCCGGCGCCGGAGCAGGUUCUGGUUCAAGCAGUUCCACCGGCAGCUGCCGCGCGGGAUGGACGCGUUCCAGCUGGAGUUCCGAAUGCGCCCGAUGUGUUCGAGACGGAGGAUGCUGGUCGAGGAGCGGUGCGAGGUCCUGUUCAAGUAGAGGGUGGAGUGGCAGGCGUUCGAACCCUUGCUCCUCUACUUCGAGCACCUGCGCCACUCGCCCUGCCUCAUACACGGCUGCAUGCUCCUGUUCCUGCCGCUGACCUACGAGCAGCCUCUGCAGGGGACCUCUUACAAACACCUUUGGACAGUCGCGUAAGCAGAGUACUUUUCGAGACUCCAGCAGUUAGAUCGUGGUUCUCGACCAGCCACUCCGUGUUAGGAACGAGGAAAAAGAUGUCUGGCGAAGUCUCCUUCUUUACAGAAACGAGUCACUCCAAGAAGGCGUUCAAAGGCUCUCUCUUUACACAUGUCGGUAGAGAUGAAAAACGGGUCGUGCGAUAACUCAAGUCUUUCACAGCAUCGAACAUUAAGGUGAUGGUCAGUCAGUCAUCAUAGAUGUACAUUCUACCUCUCCAACACUACGAAGUCUUUAUGUGGACGUCAAGCAAGAACUUUUUAUUCUGACGUCAGGGACAAGAGGGCUCGACGAACGAUGACCUCGUACCAAAACACAUUGAAAUACGUUCACUCCGUGGACCAUGUUCUCAGUAUAUUACGCAGUUAAAAGGAUGUUCAAAACACGACACUAAAACGAUAUAAUACAUGAGGAAGGCAAUGAUUUAUAUUCAGAAAGAUCUAUGACGUAA